UACGGAAGGCAGCAGUGGGGAAUAUUGCACAAUGGGCGCAAGCCUGAUGCAGCCAUGCCGCGUGUAUGAAGAAGGCCUUCGGGUUGUAAAGUACUUUCAGUUGUGAGGAAGGUGUUAAGGUUAAUAACCUUAGCAAUUGACGUUAGCGACAGAAGAAGCACCGGCUAACUCCGUGCCAGCAGCCGCGGUAAUACGGAGGGUGCGAGCGUUAAUCGGAAUUACUGGGCGUAAAGGGCACGCAGGCGGUUAAUUAAGUUGGAUGUGAAAUCCCCGGGCUUAACCUGGGAAUGGCAUUCAAGACUGGUUAGCUAGAGUCUUGUAGAGGGGGUAGAAUUCCAUGUGUAGCGGUGAAAUGCGUAGAGAUGUGGAGGAAUACCGGUGGCGAAGGCGGCCCCUGGGACAAAGACUGACGCUCAUGUGCGAAAGCGUGGGGAGCAAACAGGGAUUAGAUACC
This 454-nucleotide ribosomal RNA is filed under the name uncultured bacterium. Its description in RNAcentral is "bacterial SSU rRNA". It matches the Rfam family "Bacterial small subunit ribosomal RNA", at positions 340 to 786 of the family's 1533-position model. The record is from RNAcentral.